Molecule: ribosomal RNA, 838 nt
Filed under: uncultured Bacteroidota bacterium
Lineage: Bacteria; Pseudomonadati; Bacteroidota
Description: bacterial SSU rRNA
Rfam family: Bacterial small subunit ribosomal RNA
Source: RNAcentral
UGGAUCCAGACUUUGAUCCUGGCUCAGGAUGAACGCUAGCUACGGGCUUAACACAUGCAAGUCGAGGGGCAGCAUCAUCAAAGCUUGCUUUGAUGGAUGGCGACCGGCGCACGGGUGAGUAACACGUAUCCAACCUGCCGACAACACUGGGAUAGCCUUUCGAAAGAAAGAUUAAUACCGGAUGGCAUAAUUAUUCCGCAUGGGAUAAUUAUUAAAGAAUUUCGGUUGUCGAUGGGGAUGCGUUCCAUUAGGCAGUUGGCGGGGUAACGGCCCACCAAACCUACGAUGGAUAGGGGUUCUGAGAGGAAGGUCCCCCACAUUGGAACUGAGACACGGUCCAAACUCCUACGGGAGGCAGCAGUGAGGAAUAUUGGUCAAUGGACGAGAGUCUGAACCAGCCAAGUAGCGUGAAGGAUGACUGCCCUAUGGGUUGUAAACUUCUUUUAUACGGGAAUAAAGUUAGCCACGUGUGGUUUUUUGUAUGUACCGUAUGAAUAAGGAUCGGCUAACUCCGUGCCAGCAGCCGCGGUAAUACGGAGGAUCCGAGCGUUAUCCGGAUUUAUUGGGUUUAAAGGGAGCGUAGGCGGGUUGUUAAGUCAGUUGUGAAAGUUUGCGGCUCAACCGUAAAAUUGCAGUUGAUACUGGCGUCCUUGAGUGCGGUUGAGGUGUGCGGAAUUCGUGGUGUAGCGGUGAAAUGCUUAGAUAUCACGAAGAACUCCGAUUGCGAAGGCAGCACACUAAUCCGUAACUGACGUUCAUGCUCGAAAGUGUGGGUAUCAAACAGGAUUAGAUACCCUGGUAGUCCGCACGGUAAACGAUGAAUGCUCGCUAUGGGCGA